This 531-nucleotide ribosomal RNA is filed under the name Cyrtosathe kirkspriggsi. Its description in RNAcentral is "partial 16S ribosomal RNA". It matches the Rfam family "Bacterial large subunit ribosomal RNA", at positions 1808 to 2606 of the family's 2925-position model. The record is from RNAcentral. Lineage: Eukaryota; Metazoa; Arthropoda; Insecta; Diptera; Scenopinidae.
CAAAAACAUGUCCUUUUGUUGUUAAUUUAAGGUCUAAUCUGCCCACUGAUUUAAUUAAAUGGCCGCAGUAUUUUAACUGUGCAAAGGUAGCAUAAUCAUUAGUCUUUUAAUUGAAGGCUUGUAUGAAUGGUUGGACGAGAUAUAAGCUGUCUCAUAUAUAAUUAGAUAAAAAUUUAUUUUUUAGUUAAAAAGCUAAAAUUAAUUUAAAAGACGAGAAGACCCUAUAGAUCUUUAUAAAUAGAAUAUUUUAAUUAUUAGGAAUAUUUGAUUUAAUAUUUUUUUAUUUAUUUCGUUGGGGUGAUGUUAAAAUUUAUUGAACUUUUGAUAUAUAUAUAAAUACAUUGAUUUUUGGUAUGUUGAUCCAAUUUUAUUGAUUAAAAAAUUAAGUUACCUUAGGGAUAACAGCGUAAUUUCUUUAGAGAGUUCAUAUCGAUAAAGGAGAUUGCGACCUCGAUGUUGGAUUAAGAGAUAGCUUGGGCGCAGCAGUUCAAGAAUUUAAGUCUGUUCGACUUUUAAUAUCUUACAUGAUCU